RNAcentral lists this ribosomal RNA (481 nucleotides) under uncultured bacterium. RNAcentral's name for it is "partial 16S ribosomal RNA". It matches the Rfam family "Bacterial small subunit ribosomal RNA", at positions 30 to 507 of the family's 1533-position model. The record is from RNAcentral.
UUGAACGCUGGCGGCAUGCCUUACACAUGCAAGUCGAACGGUAACGGGCCUUCGGGUGCCGACGAGUGGCGAACGGGUGAGUAAUACAUCGAAACGUGCCCGAUCGUGGGGGAUAACGAGGCGAAAGCUUUGCUAAUACCGCAUACGAUCUACGGAUGAAAGCAGGGGACCGCAAGGCCUUGCGCGGACGGAGCGGCCGAUGGCAGAUUAGGUAGUUGGUGGGAUAAAAGCUUACCAAGCCGACGAUCUGUAGCUGGUCUGAGAGGAUGAUCAGCCACACUGGGACUGAGACACGGCCCAGACUCCUACGGGAGGCAGCAGUGGGGAAUUUUGGACAAUGGGCGCAAGCCUGAUCCAGCCAUGCCGCGUGCAGGAUGAAGGCCUUCGGGUUGUAAACUGCUUUUGUACGGAACGAAAAGCCUUCUUUUAAUACAGGAGGGUCAUGACGGUACCGUAAGAAUAAGCACCGGCUAACUACGUG